Molecule: long non-coding RNA, 240 nt
Organism: Prionailurus viverrinus (fishing cat)
Lineage: Eukaryota; Metazoa; Chordata; Mammalia; Carnivora; Felidae
Exons: 3
Source: RefSeq, a predicted model, not a curated record
GCUAAACGUUGGAGAAGACUGAUCAGUUUCAUUAAUUAAAUCUUCAGUCCAGAUUUCUCCUUUGAGUUCCGUGAAAACGAUGAACAUGGUGGAUGUGAAUUCGUGUACAAAGUUUAGAAAUGAAAUACAUAUGGAAUGAAAUACGACAAACCCUCUUGGUGUUUAAUUCAGCUAAAUGCAUCAGUUGCAGUUAGAUGUGACCAUGUGAUCGUGUUCUGGCAAACAGGAAGGUAAGUGGAA